GACGAACGCUGGCGGCGUGCUUAACACAUGCAAGUCGAACGGAAAGGCCCUGCUUUUGUGGUGUGCUCGAGUGGCGAACGGGUGAGUAACACGUGAGUAACCUGCCCUUUACUUUGGGAUAACUUCAGGAAACUGGGGCUAAUACCGGAUAUGAGCUCCUGCUGCAUGGUGGUGGUUGGAAAUUUUCGGCGGUUGGGGAUGGUCUCGCGGCUUAUCAGCUUUUUUGUGGGGUAGUUGCUUACCAAGGCUUUGACGGGUAGCCGGCAUGAGAGGGUGACCGGAGACAUUGGGACUGAGAUACGGCACAGAAGCGUACGGGAGGAAGCAGUGGGGAAUAUUGCAAAAUGGGAGGAAGCAUGAUGCAGAAAAGCAGGAUGCGGGAUGAAGGCAUUCGGGUAGUAAACCGAUUUCGCAUGUGAAGAAGAGUGAGUGACGGUAAUGGGUAAAGAAGCACCGGCUAACUACGUG
This 468-nucleotide ribosomal RNA is filed under the name uncultured bacterium. Its description in RNAcentral is "partial 16S ribosomal RNA". It matches the Rfam family "Bacterial small subunit ribosomal RNA", at positions 28 to 507 of the family's 1533-position model. The record is from RNAcentral.